Molecule: ribosomal RNA, 28 nt
Filed under: Russula nigricans
Lineage: Eukaryota; Fungi; Basidiomycota; Agaricomycetes; Russulales; Russulaceae
Description: partial 18S ribosomal RNA
Source: RNAcentral
UCCGUAGGUGACCUGCGGAAGGAUCAUU